RNAcentral lists this transfer RNA (490 nucleotides) under Dapis pnigousa NAB11-15. Its description in RNAcentral is "partial 16S-23S ribosomal RNA intergenic spacer". The stretch from base 213 to 285 matches the Rfam family "tRNA". The record is from RNAcentral. Lineage: Bacteria; Bacillati; Cyanobacteriota; Cyanophyceae; Oscillatoriales; Microcoleaceae.
CAGGGAGACCAACCAACUCAGCACAGAGAAAGUAGAUGUGUUGAAGUGUGGACAACCCUGGUCGAGCAAGGGAAAUUAGAGAGUGUAAGUUUAACUUUCAAACUAGAGGUUAGGUUCAUUUAAUGGGCUAUUAGCUCAGGUGGUUAGAGCGCACCCCUGAUAAGGGUGAGGUCCCUGGUUCAAGUCCAGGAUAGCCCACAUAAGAGAGAUCGGGGGGUAUAGCUCAGUUGGUAGAGCGCUGCCUUUGCAAGGCAGAAGUCAGCGGUUCGAGUCCGCUUACCUCCAGGAGAGAAAGAAAUAAGAGAAAUCAGCAAUCAGACCUGAAUCAAUCAAGUCUAGCUGCUGGUCAUCUAAAAAUCCAGCAAGAACCUUGAAAACUGCAUAGUAGAAAGAAGUCAAAGUAACUAAACCAGAGGUUAGGUGUAACCUAACAAAAUCAAAAUCUAGUCAGGUAGAAAGUCAAGUGGUCAAGUUAUAAAGGGCUGACGGU